Molecule: ribosomal RNA, 116 nt
Filed under: Mus pahari (shrew mouse)
Lineage: Eukaryota; Metazoa; Chordata; Mammalia; Rodentia; Muridae
Description: rRNA (MGP_PahariEiJ_G0032800.1)
Source: RNAcentral
GUCUAUGAUCAUAACAUCCUGAAUGUACCUGUUCUCAUCUGAUCUCAGAAGCUAGGCACAGUUGGACCUGGUUAGUUCUUGUGGGAGUUACAUUAGGAAUUCCACUUUUCACUUUU